AACUUCCCUCAGAAUGGGGAAUACCCCCGCAGAAAUCGGGGAUAAUACCGCAUAAGACCACAUCUCGGCAUCGAGAAGGGGUAAAAGGCGUAAGUCGUUCUGGGAUAGUCCCGCGUCCUAUCAGCUAGUUGGUGAGGUAACGGCCCACCAAGGCUAUGACGGGUAUCCGGCCUGAAAGGGUGUACGGACACACUGGAACAGAGACACGGUCCAGACUCCUACGGGAGGCAGCAGUGGGGAAUGACGGACAAUGGGCGAAAGCCUGAUCCAGCGACGCCGCGUGAAGGAUGAAGGCCUUCGGGUUGUCAACUUCUUUUAGAGGGAACGAAAAAAAUGACGGUACCCUCAGAAAAAGCCACGGCUAACUACGUGCCAGCAGCCGCGGUAAUACGUAGGUGGCGAGCGUUACUCGGAAUUACUAGGCGUAAAGCGCUUGUAGGUGGUUGGAUAAGU
Molecule: ribosomal RNA, 453 nt
Filed under: uncultured bacterium
Lineage: Bacteria
Description: bacterial SSU rRNA
Rfam family: Bacterial small subunit ribosomal RNA
Source: RNAcentral